UGAAUACGAGACGCUAAGGCGUCGAAGUAGUGUAUGUCAUACUUCCAAGAAAAGCUUGCACUGUCAUAGAUAAAAAACGCCUGUACCAUAACCGACACAGGUGGGUAGGUAGAGUAUACUAAGGGGCGCGAGAUAACUCUCUCUAAGGAACUCGGCAAAAUAACUCCGUAACUUCGGGAGAAGGAGUGCCUUACUCGUAAGGUUGCAAUAACAAGAUCCAAGCAACUGUUUAUCAAAAACACAGGUCUCCGCUAAGUCGUAAGACGAUGUAUGGGGGCUGACACCUGCCCAGUGCCAGAAGGUUAAAGAAGUUGGUUAGCAAUUGCGAAGCUGAUAACUGAAGCCCUGGUGAACGGCGGCCGUAACUAUAACGGUCCUAAGGUAGCGAAAUUCCUUGUCGGGUAAGUUCCGACCCGCACGAAAGGCGUAAUGAUUUGGAUACUGUCUCGGAGAGGGGCUCGGUGAAAUAGACUUGUCUGUGAAGAUGCGGACUACCUGCACCAGGACAGAAAGACCCUAUGAAGCUUUACUGUAACUUGAAAUUGAAAUUGGACUUUAUUCGCGCAGCAUAGGUGGGAGGCGUUGAUUAUAAUCUUGCGGGGUUAUUGGAGCCAUCAGUGAGAUACCACUCUUGUAAUGUUAGAUUUCUAACUUUGAAUCAUUAUCUGGUCAAAGAACAGUUUCAGGCGGGCAGUUUGACUGGGGCGGUCGCCUCCUAAACGGUAACGGAGGCGUACAAAGGUUUCCUCUGAACGGUUAGAAAUCGUAUCUAGAGUGUAAAGGCAUAAGGAAGCUUGACUGUGAGACCUACAAGUCGAGCAGGGACGAAAGUCGGUCUUAGUGAUCUGACGGUACUGAGUGGAAAGGCCGUCACUCAACGGAUAAAAGUUACUCUAAGGAUAACAGGCUGAUCUCCCCCAAGAGUUCACAUCGACGGGGAGGUUUGGCACCUCGAUGUCGGCUCAUCGCAUCCUGGGGCGGUAGUACGUCCCAAGGGUUGGGCUGUUCGCCCAUGAAAGCGGUACGCGAGCUGGGUUCAGAACGUCGUGAGACAGUUCGGUCCAUAUCCGGUGUAGGCGUUAGAAUAUUGAGAGGAGCCUUCUUUAGUACGAGAGGACCGAGAAGGACAUACCUCUGGUGUACCAGUUAUCGUGCCAACGGUAAACGCUGGGUAGCUAUGUAUGGAGUGGAUAACCGCUGAAAGCAUCUAAGUGGGAAGUCCACCUCAAGAUAAGUAUUCUCAC
RNAcentral lists this ribosomal RNA (1244 nucleotides) under metagenome. RNAcentral describes it as "bacterial LSU rRNA". It matches the Rfam family "Bacterial large subunit ribosomal RNA", at positions 1564 to 2817 of the family's 2925-position model. The record is from RNAcentral.